This 395-nucleotide ribosomal RNA is filed under the name uncultured bacterium. RNAcentral's name for it is "partial 16S ribosomal RNA". It matches the Rfam family "Bacterial small subunit ribosomal RNA", at positions 338 to 730 of the family's 1533-position model. The record is from RNAcentral.
CCUACGGGUGGCAGCAGUGAGGAAUAUUGGUCAAUGGACGAGAGACUGAACCAGCCAAGUCGCGUGAAGGAUGACUGCCCUAUGGGUUGUAAACUUCUUUUAUAUGGGAAUAAAAUGUUCCACGUGUGGGAUUUUGUAUGUACCUUAUGAAUAAGGAUCGGCUAACUCCGUGCCAGCAGCCGCGGUAAUACGGAGGAUCCGAGCGUUAUCCGGAUUUAUUGGGUUUAAAGGGAGCGUAGAUGGGUUGUUAAGAUAGUUGUGAAAGUUUGGGGCUCAACCGUAAAAAUGCGAGUGAUACUGGCAGCCUUGAGUACAAGUGAGGUAGGCGGAAUGCGUGGUGUAGCGGUGAAAUGCAUAGAUAUCACGAAGAACUCCGAUUGCGAAGGCAGCAUACU